CAGGCUUGUUGCCUUCCUUUCACUGUUGGGAGUCCACAGAGAGGCACACAUUCAGGGAACAGACCUCCUUCCAAUGGUGGAUAUGGCGGUGUUCUUGUUCUUUCUUCUAAGCAGUUUGAUUCUUCUGAUCUUGGAUCACAAUCAGUUGAAAGGCUCUUUGAAACGAUCUGAACUGCUCACUAAGCCCCAGAGGUUUUUCCUUCAAAUUGAUUUUUUUGCCAACUUUAUUUGUGGACUCAUGUGGUUGGUUUUUCCAGGAUGGCUACAUGGGUCACAGAUUAAUGGAUCUGAGGAUCAUCUUUAUCUCACUCGGGCAUUCGGAGCCAUGAUGGUCGGAGACAGCUUUGUUUCUUUUACUACUCAGAAGCAAAUGGGAACCUGCGAGGUAUCUGUCUUCAGCAGCCGGGCUGUGGUAUGUCAUAUCAUCAAAACAUAUUACAACUGUUAACACUGAUUUUACUCCAUGAUGAUUACAUAUCCUUUUGUGUUCAAAAACAAGAUAA
This is a long non-coding RNA of Puntigrus tetrazona (Sumatra barb), 503 nucleotides long. RefSeq lists it as uncharacterized. Lineage: Eukaryota; Metazoa; Chordata; Actinopteri; Cypriniformes; Cyprinidae. The record is from RefSeq and is a predicted model, not a curated record. The transcript has 4 exons.